RNAcentral lists this ribosomal RNA (402 nucleotides) under uncultured bacterium. RNAcentral describes it as "bacterial SSU rRNA". It matches the Rfam family "Bacterial small subunit ribosomal RNA", at positions 355 to 774 of the family's 1533-position model. The record is from RNAcentral.
UGGGGAAUAUUGGACAAUGGGCGCAAGCCUGAUCCAGCCAUGCCGCGUGAGUGAUGAAGGCCUUAGGGUUGUAAAGCUCUUUCGCCGGUGAGGAUAAUGACGGUAACCGGAGAAGAAGCCCCGGCUAACUUCGUGCCAGCAGCCGCGGUAAUACGAAGGGGGCUAGCGUUGCUCGGAAUUACUGGGCGUAAAGCGCACGUAGGCGGUUUCUUAAGUCGGGGGUGAAAUCCUGGAGCUCAACUCCAGAACUGCCUUCGAUACUGGGAAACUUGAGUUCGGGAGAGGUGAGUGGAACUGCGAGUGUAGAGGUGAAAUUCGUAGAUAUUCGCAAGAACACCAGUGGCGAAGGCGGCUCACUGGCCCGAUACUGACGCUGAGGUGCGAAAGCGUGGGGAGCAAACA